This 401-nucleotide ribosomal RNA is filed under the name uncultured bacterium. RNAcentral describes it as "bacterial SSU rRNA". It matches the Rfam family "Bacterial small subunit ribosomal RNA", at positions 355 to 774 of the family's 1533-position model. The record is from RNAcentral.
UCGGGAAUUUUGGGCAAUGGGCGAAAGCCUGACCCAGCAACGCCGCGUGAGGGAUGAAGUAUUUCGGUAUGUAAACCUCGAAAGAAUGGGAAGAAUAAAUGACGGUACCAUUUAUAAGCUCCGGCUAACUACGUGCCAGCAGCCGCGGUAAUACGUAGGGAGCAAGCGUUGUUCGGAUUUACUGGGCGUAAAGGGCGCGUAGGCGGCGCGGUAAGUCACUUGUGAAAUCUCUGAGCUUAACUCAGAACGGCCAAGUGAUACUGCUGUGCUAGAGUGCGGAAGAGGCAACCGGAAUUCUUGGUGUAGCGGUGAAAUGCGUAGAUAUCAAGAGGAACACCGAGGCGAAGGCGGGUUGCUGGGCCGACACUGACGCUGAUGCGCGAAAGCCAGGGGAGCAAACG